GUUUAAAUAGUUUAAAUAAAACGUUGGUUUGUGGCGCCUAAGAUAUGAGUUUUCAUUUUAAACC
Molecule: transfer RNA, 64 nt
Filed under: Sicyonia lancifer
Lineage: Eukaryota; Metazoa; Arthropoda; Malacostraca; Decapoda; Sicyoniidae
Description: tRNA-His
Rfam family: tRNA
About the family: Transfer RNA (tRNA) molecules are approximately 80 nucleotides in length. Their secondary structure includes four short double-helical elements and three loops (D, anti-codon, and T loops).
Source: RNAcentral